Long non-coding RNA from Rhipicephalus sanguineus (brown dog tick), 407 nucleotides. RefSeq lists it as uncharacterized. The transcript is spliced from 3 exons. The record is from RefSeq and is a predicted model, not a curated record. Lineage: Eukaryota; Metazoa; Arthropoda; Arachnida; Ixodida; Ixodidae.
UACGUCACAAAGGGAUGCGAGGAAAACAACACCAAAGUUAUGCUACUUUUCCUUCACGGAUUUCUUGACUUUUAGUACGCCUGGAAUAGACAGAUACCUGCCCUUGGUGACGAUUUUUGCGUGGUGGCACCUGACUUGCGCGGUUACGGAAAUACUACAAGACCUGAUGACACCGCCCUGUACCUCAUGACGAAUCUAAUUGAAGAUGUUAAAGGAUUGCUUGAAAACCUGAACAAAGAUCACAAGCGGAAAGUUAUUCUCGUUGGUCACGACUGGGGCGGCAUGAUCAGUUUCUGCUUUGCGACGCUCAACGAAACGCUGAUCGAUGGAAUGGUCAUUAUCAAUGGCAUGCACCCAAUGGCCUUUGCUAAGCAGCUCUUUAAAAGCGUUACACAGAUGAGAAUGUC